UAGAAACGCAUUCAAUUUUCGAUUACCUUAACUUGUUUCCCGUUUUGCGUACUCAAAUUGGAUAUGAAUUGCUUUUAUUAGAUUUUUACUGCAGUUUAUGAGAAACAAAAAGUUUUUUUAUACGCUAUUUAGAAGCAUUUGUCGCGUAGUAUAUUAUUACUUAGAAUUCAAAGGAAACAACUUCCUGAAGAUUUGCUUGAAAACCCACAGGAUCUGACUAUAUUGAAGUAUACGCCAUUCAUGUUUAACCCGGGUACUAUACGCGACACUAAAAAGAACACUAACUUUAAACCUACGAAAAAGGAAUUGUCAGAGGCAUUUAUUUUACAAGUUCAUGACUUGACUACUUUUAAUGAACAGAUAAAAUUAAGAGAAAAGAUUAUU
This is a long non-coding RNA of Leptopilina boulardi, 384 nucleotides long. RefSeq lists it as uncharacterized. NCBI's taxonomy places the organism in Eukaryota, Metazoa, Arthropoda, Insecta, Hymenoptera, Figitidae. The record is from RefSeq and is a predicted model, not a curated record. The transcript is spliced from 3 exons.